RNAcentral lists this unclassified non-coding RNA (263 nucleotides) under fungal sp. Its description in RNAcentral is "partial contains small subunit ribosomal RNA, internal transcribed spacer 1, and 5.8S ribosomal RNA". The stretch from base 1 to 47 matches the Rfam family "Eukaryotic small subunit ribosomal RNA", at positions 1785 to 1831 of the family's 1831-position model. The record is from RNAcentral. Lineage: Eukaryota; Fungi.
AAAGUCGUAACAAGGUCUCCGUUGGUGAACCAGCGGAGGGAUCAUUACAGAGUUGCAAAACUCCCUAAACCAUCGCGAACGUUACCUUGAACCGUUGCUUCGGCGGGCGGCGCCCCUUUUCGCGGGGCGCCCCUGGGGCCCGUUUCACCGCGGGCUGCCCGCCGGAGGUAUACAACCAAAAACUCUUGAUAUUUCUUUGGCCACUCUGAGUCUUCUGUUACUGAAUUAAGUCAAAACUUUCAACAACGGAUCUCUUGGUUCUG